UACGUAGGGUGCGAGCGUUGUCCGGAAUUAUUGGGCGUAAAGAGCUCGUAGGCGGUCUGUCGCGUCGAUCGUGAAAACUUGGGGCUUAACCCUGAGCUUGCGGUCGAUACGGGCAUGACUGGAGUUCGGCAGGGGAGACUGGAAUUCCUGGUGUAGCGGUGAAAUGCGCAGAUAUCAGGAGGAACACCGGUGGCGAAGGCGGGUCUCUGGGCCGGCAUUGACGCUGAGGAGCGAAAGCCAGGGGAGCAAACGGG
Molecule: ribosomal RNA, 254 nt
Filed under: uncultured bacterium
Lineage: Bacteria
Description: partial 16S ribosomal RNA
Rfam family: Bacterial small subunit ribosomal RNA
Source: RNAcentral